CCUACGGGAGGCAGCAGUCGAGAAUUAUUCACAAUGGGGGAAACCCUGAUGGUGCGACGCCGCGUGGGGGAAUGAAGGUCUUCGGAUUGUAAACCCCUGUCAUGUGGGAGCAAAUUAAAAAGAUAGUACCACAAGAGGAAGAGACGGCUAACUCUGUGCCAGCAGCCGCGGUAAUCCAGAGGUCUCAAGCGUUGUUCGGAAUCACUGGGCGUAAAGCGUGCGUAGGCUGUUUCGUAAGUCGUGUGUGAAAGGCGCGGGCUCAACCCGCGGACGGCACAUGAUACUGCGAGACUAGAGUAAUGGAGGGGGAACCGGAAGUCUCGGUGUAGCAGUGAAAUGCGUAGAUAUCGAGAGGAACACUCGUGGCGAAGGCGGGUUCCUGGACAUUAACUGACGCUGAGGCACGAAGGCCAGGGGAGCGAAAGGGAUUAGAUACCCUAGUAGUC
Molecule: ribosomal RNA, 446 nt
Filed under: uncultured bacterium
Lineage: Bacteria
Description: partial 16S ribosomal RNA
Rfam family: Bacterial small subunit ribosomal RNA
Source: RNAcentral